GCUUUAGACUGACCGAAAGAGCAAUUGUCCUGCCUUCAGGGCCUAAACAAGAAGACUAGAUCUGUUCCCCCACCUUCUUGAGUUGAGAUGAUAAGAAUCAGAGAUGUUAAAAGAUGAACAUGACGGUCUGAUCCGGACAGAGAAAAAAAGGAAAGAGGAUGCAGCUGAUCAGAAGAGACGUAAUUGUCGCACAGCAAGUUGGGAAAAGUCCAAGACAACACUCAUUUUGUAGGCUGCAGAAAAUGAACUUCCAGAGAAAAGUAUGACAAAGAAAUUCAAUACCUGUCACCAAAUCCAGGAAAGUAUAUUAGUAACUAGACUAACUUUCCUGCACCUGUCCUUCAUUUAAAGAACCAAAAAGCCCGGAACACUCUUUUAGACUAAUUUUGCUUCAAAAAUCCACAGAAAAAGACAGUACACUUCAUGUGAAUGGGGUCCUCAAAACACGAUCUGCAUGUGGCAGAAAAAUUCCAAAUAUACAGGAAUUAUACAGCACAAUCUGUAGCCAAGUCCACAUACUAUAUAACAUGUGAGGCUUUUACUGCAGAAUUAUUAAAAUGUAAUAUCAGCAACGCAAGUGCUAAAUUGGCAACUAUAAACCACA
This is a long non-coding RNA of Hyla sarda, 604 nucleotides long. RefSeq lists it as uncharacterized. Lineage: Eukaryota; Metazoa; Chordata; Amphibia; Anura; Hylidae. The transcript is spliced from 3 exons. The record is from RefSeq and is a predicted model, not a curated record.